UGGGGAAUAUUGUGCAAUGGGCGAAAGCCUGACGCAGCCACGCCGCGUGAGUGAUGAAGGCCUUCGGGUUGUAAAGCUCUGUCGGGAGGGACGAAGGGAGCAAUCCCUGACGGUACCUCGCAAGAAAGCACCGGCUAACUCUGUGCCAGCAGCCGCGGUAAUACAGAGGGUGCAAGCGUUGUUCGGAUUUACUGGGCGUAAAGCGUACGCAGACGGCUUGGUAGGUCGGAUGUGAAAGCCCCGGGCUCAACCCGGGAAUUGCAUCCGAAACCACCUCGCUCGAGUGUGGGAGAGGGAAGCGGAAUUCCUGGUGUAGAGGUGAAAUUCGUAGAUAUCAGGAGGAACACCGGCGGCGAAGGCGGCUUCCUGGCCCAUUACUGACGUUCAGGUACGAAAGCGUGGGUAGCAAACAGGAUUAGAUACCCUGGUAGUCCACGCCGUAAACGAUGUGUGCUGGAUGUCGGGGGUAUUCACCCCCUCGGUAUCGAAGCCAACGCGAUAAGCACC
Molecule: ribosomal RNA, 507 nt
Filed under: uncultured Pseudomonadota bacterium
Lineage: Bacteria; Pseudomonadati; Pseudomonadota
Description: bacterial SSU rRNA
Rfam family: Bacterial small subunit ribosomal RNA
Source: RNAcentral